UUUGUACUCCCUCCGUCCAAUAAAAGAUGUCUCAACUUUGACUAAUUUUGAAUGCAUCUAUACACUAAGUCAUGUCUAGAUACAUUCAAAUUUUAACAAACUUGAGACAUCUUUUGUUGGACGGAGGGAGUAGAAA
Brachypodium distachyon (stiff brome) is the source of this 136-nucleotide non-coding RNA. The record is from Rfam. Lineage: Eukaryota; Viridiplantae; Streptophyta; Magnoliopsida; Poales; Poaceae.